Molecule: ribosomal RNA, 494 nt
Filed under: uncultured bacterium
Lineage: Bacteria
Description: partial 16S ribosomal RNA
Rfam family: Bacterial small subunit ribosomal RNA
Source: RNAcentral
GACGAACGCUGGCGGCGUGCCUAAUACAUGCAAGUAGAACGCUGAAGGAGGAGCUUGCUUCUCUGGAUGAGUUGCGAACGGGUGAGUAACGCGUAGGUAACCUGCCUGGUAGUGGGGGAUAACUAUUGGAAACGAUAGCUAAUACCGCAUAAUAGCGGUGGUUGCAUGUUAACGGUUGAAAAGUUCAAUUGCAACCGCUACCAGAUGACCUGCGUUGUAUUAGCUAGUUGGUGGGGUUACGGCCCAACAAGGCGACGAUACAUAGCCGACCUGAGAGGGGGAUCGGCCACACUGGGACUGAGACACGGCCCAGACUCCUACGGGAGGCAGCAGUAGGGAAUCUUCGGCAAUGGACGGAAGUCUGACCGAGCAACGCCGCGUGAGUGAAGAAGGUUUUCGGAUCGUAAAGCUCUGUUGUAAGAGAAGAACGAGUGUGAGAGUGGAAAGUUCACACUGUGACGGUAUCUUACCAGAAAGGGACGGCUAACUACGUG